RNAcentral lists this ribosomal RNA (253 nucleotides) under uncultured bacterium. RNAcentral's name for it is "partial 16S ribosomal RNA". It matches the Rfam family "Bacterial small subunit ribosomal RNA", at positions 524 to 776 of the family's 1533-position model. The record is from RNAcentral.
UACGUAGGGUGCUAGCGUUGUCCGGAAUUAUUGGGCGUAAAGAGCUCGUAGGCGGUCUGUCGCGUCGGCUGUGAAAACCCGGGGCUCAACCCCGGGCCUGCAGUCGAUACGGGCAGACUAGAGUGCGGUAGGGGAGACUGGAAUUCCUGGUGUAGCGGUGAAAUGCGCAGAUAUCAGGAGGAACACCAAUGGCGAAGGCAGCUCGCUGGGACGGUACUGACGCUGAGGAGCGAAAGCGUGGGGAGCGAACAGG